GGGAAAAAAAAAACAAAGGAAGGAAGAGAGAAAAGAGAAUGAGAGGAAGAGAAGGAAGGGGAAAAACAAGAUUGACUUUACAGUAUGAGAUAUACUAUUAUAUAUUGGACCCUUGGUGGGCAGUGCCUAAACAGAGACAACUACAGGUUUCUGGCUGUGGCCACUCUCUGGUGAAACUAAGGGGUUUCUGUGUGGAGGUGCCUAACAGCCACCGUCCAGUUUGGGUAAAGAAAGCUUUUUAUGGUUCACUAAGGACAAUCAACCCCUUCGCAAUCUAGAACCAAAAGACUGGAUCUUCUGAGAACAUCUACUGUAAGAACUAUAGUUACACAACAGACUUUGAAUUCUCUUGUGAAAGUUAAGGUAGAAUUGGCUGAACAGAGGAGUAUCUGUGCGGCUGCUGGCAUUUGUGGCUUAUGGAGAAACACAUUAAAUGAAGAUUACAGAGAUUCAUUGGCAGGGGAUUAACAGAGAUUGCUUAAUUAAGUGAGUAGGCUCACUAUCUAGCUCAUUCUUUGAUCUAUUUGAUUUUAGGUGGUUUGGUUUAUGGGGACCCGGGGAAAGAAGCAUACUCCAAACUCUUAGUAUUAUCCUCCCGAUGGUUAUAAUAAUAGUUGUCCUGUUGUGCUGUAUUUUCUGAAAGGUUUUAAAUGCUUGCAUGCAGCCAUCUCUAGAAUGUCAAAUGGUCUCUCUUCAACUGGAAUGACAAGAGCUUAAAGAAACAUGUGACCAUGAGGAAACCAUAAACUAUGAAUAAUGUGUUGAGACCAGAAACCCAAAAUGAUGGUAACUGAGUGGUGCUAAGGCCCUAAGUUUUGGUCACACUCUCACCUAAGUGAGAACUUGACCAAAAAGGAGGGAAGUUUUUAAAACAAAAUUGUGGGAAGUCAUUUGUUUUGAUUGAGUUCAUGCACUCAGCCCCAACAGAUCAAACCAAACCAAAAUGGAGUUGCUUGUGUUAAGACUAUAAGGAAACAGAUACAUUCUAGAACAGACCAUGUUUUGUUUUUCUCCUGCAAAUCUCUGUAACAAACAUUCCUGACAACAUAGGCAUCCACUCCCUGAAGUUCCCAUUAAGUCUUUUAACUAAAUUCACUUCCUCUGGCCUAGAGACCAUCAAGCUUCAGAUGCUCAUGUGACAAGGGUUCCAGCCAGUUCCAGGUGAAGACACCACUCCUAGCCAUCAAGGAACUACCCUGUCUCCACUAGACAGAGAAGGGGCUUACAACAAGAAACCAGUGGAAAUCUCCAGAGGAAAUUUAAACCCCAGAAAAUUCUGUAACUCAGCUCUAUGCUGGAGCCACUCCCACCCUGUAGAGUGUACUUUCACUUUCAGUAAUUUAAACCCCAGAAAAUUCUGUAACUCAACUCUAUGCUUGAGCCCACUCCCACCCUGUGGAGGGUACUUUCACUUUCAAUAAUUUAAACCCCAGAAAAUUCUGUAACUCAGCUCUAUGCUUGAGCCCACUCCCACCCUGUGGAGCGUACCUUCACUUUCCAUAAAUCUCUGCUUUCGUUGCCUCAUUCUUUCCUUGCUUUGUUUGUGCAUUUUGUCCAAUUCUUUGUCCAAGAUGCCAAAAACCUGGACACCCUCCACUGGUAACAAUAGAUAGGGGGAAUAUAGAACAAUUUAAGUAAAAACCAGUUUAGAAGAUGUAUAAGAAUUUUUUCGUUAAAGACUUAAAAGAUGUGCCUUUUUUUAUCUGUGUCCAGGGAAAAAAACACAAAAAUGGGAUAUGAACUUUGUCACAAGGAAAUCUUGAAAUUUCCAAGAAGUGAAACUUUAUUGUAUGCCUUAAACUUUUAGAAGAUAUACUAAAUCCAUAGGUAAUAUUAUAACUAAAUUAUAUAAAGACAGACAAAUCCAAAAUCUGGUUCUUUGAAUGUGUUAAAAAAGAUAGAGUAAGAAACAAUGUACAGGAAAAACAAGCAAACAACAAUGACAAAAAACAAACAAACAAAAACCAUCUCUGAAUCUUACUGAACAGAAAAGAGGAGAGAUGAAAUAUACACGUUAGUAGUUAGAGGAGAAUAAGACCACUCAAUAAGUAGAGUUUGAAACAACAGAAGUUUGCUAGGUACAACCCUAUGGUGAUAGUUAUUUAUUGUGUAUCUAAUUACCCUAAAACUUAGUGACUUAAAUCAGCAACAUUUUCACUAUAUCAGUUUCUGUUCCUCAGAAAUCCAGGUGUGACUCAGCCGUCUCCCUUGGCUCAGGGCCUUUCUUUCUCAGAGCUGUGAUGAAGGUGUCAACUAGGACUGAAAUCAUAUCAAGCCUCAAGUGAGGGAGGAUUUUCAUCAAUGCUCAUCACUUGCUGUUAAGAUACCUUUCUUCCAAAAAAUGCUCACCAUCACUGGCCA
RNAcentral lists this long non-coding RNA (2361 nucleotides) under Homo sapiens (human). Its description in RNAcentral is "HSALNT0312820". Lineage: Eukaryota; Metazoa; Chordata; Mammalia; Primates; Hominidae. The record is from RNAcentral.